This 378-nucleotide ribosomal RNA is filed under the name Klebsiella pneumoniae. RNAcentral's name for it is "partial 23S ribosomal RNA". It matches the Rfam family "Bacterial large subunit ribosomal RNA", at positions 421 to 802 of the family's 2925-position model. The record is from RNAcentral. Lineage: Bacteria; Pseudomonadati; Pseudomonadota; Gammaproteobacteria; Enterobacterales; Enterobacteriaceae.
AACACGUGAAAUUCCGUCGGAAUCUGGGAGGACCCUCUCCCAAGGCUAAAUACUCCCUAGUGAUCGAUAGUGAACCAGUACCGUGAGGGAAAGGUGAAAAGCACCCCGGAAGGGGAGUGAAAGAGAUCCUGAAACCGUGUGCCUACAAAUAGUCAGAGCCCGUUAACGGGUGAUGGCGUGCCUUUUGUAGAAUGAACCGGCGAGUUACGAUCCCGUGCGAGGUUAAGCUGAAGAGGCGGAGCCGCAGCGAAAGCGAGUCUGAAUAGGGCGUUUAGUACGUGGUCGUAGACCCGAAACCAGGUGAUCUACCCAUGUCCAGGGUGAAGUUCAGGUAACACUGAAUGGAGGCCCGAACCCACGCACGUUGAAAAGUGCGGG